UACAGGAGGGGCAAGCGUUAUUCGGAAUUAUUGGGCGUAAAGGGCGCGUAGGCGGCAUGGCAAGUGGAUGGUGAAAUCCCUCGGCUUAACCGAGGAACUGCCGUCCAAACUGCUUCGCUUGAGACCGGGAGAGGUGAGUGGAAUUCCCAGUGUAGCGGUGAAAUGCGUAGAUAUUGGGAGGAACACCAGUGGCGAAGGCGGCUCACUGGACCGGUACUGACGCGUGAUGCGUCGAAAGCGUGGGGAGCAAACGGG
RNAcentral lists this ribosomal RNA (255 nucleotides) under uncultured bacterium. RNAcentral's name for it is "partial 16S ribosomal RNA". It matches the Rfam family "Bacterial small subunit ribosomal RNA", at positions 524 to 776 of the family's 1533-position model. The record is from RNAcentral.